This 556-nucleotide ribosomal RNA is filed under the name uncultured archaeon. RNAcentral describes it as "bacterial SSU rRNA". It matches the Rfam family "Archaeal small subunit ribosomal RNA", at positions 321 to 879 of the family's 1478-position model. The record is from RNAcentral.
CCCUACGGGGCGCAGCAGUCGCGGAAACUCCGCAAUACACGAAAGUGUGACGGGGCUAUCCCGAGUGCCGUCCGCUGAGGAUGGCUUUUCCCUAGUGUAUAAAGCUGGGGGAAUAAGGAGAGGGCAAGACUGGUGUCAGCCGCCGCGGUAAUACCAGCUCUCCGAGUGGUGGGGACAUUUAUUGGGCCUAAAGCAUUCGUAGCCUGUUGGGCAAGUCCUCCGUUAAAUCCAACGAUUCAAUCGUUGGGCUGCGGGGGAUACUGUCCGGCUAGGGGGCGGGAGAGGCCGACGGUAUUCUCGGGGUAGGGGUGAAAUCCUAUAAUCCCGGGAGGACCACCAGUGGCGAAGGCUGUCGGCUAGAACGCGCUCGACGGUGAGGGAUGAAAGCUGGGGGAGCGAACCGGAUUAGAUACCCGGGUAGUCCCAGCUGUAAACGAUGCAGGCUAGGUGUUGACGCGGCUACGUGCCGCUUCGGUGCCGCAGGGAAGCCGUUAAGCCUGCCGCCUGGGAAGUACGUCCGCAAGGCUGAAACUUAAAGGAAUUGGCGGGGGAGCAC